GAACGCUGGCGGCGUGCUUAACACAUGCAAGUCGAACGGAAAGGCCUUUUCGGAGGUACUCGAGUGGCGAACGGGUGAGUAACACGUGGGUGAUCUGCCCUGCACUCUGGGAUAAGCCUGGGAAACUGGGUCUAAUACCGGAUAGGACCGCACUUUAGUGUGUGUGGUGGAAAGUUUUUUCGGUGUAGGAUGAGCCCGCGGCCUAUCAGCUUGUUGGUGGGGUAAUGGCCUACCAAGGCGGCGACGGGUAGCCGGACUGAGAGGUUGGUCGGCCACAUUGGGACUGAGAUACGGCCCAGACUCCUACGGGAGGCAGCAGUGGGGAAUAUUGCACAAUGGGCGCAAGCCUGAUGCAGCGACGCCGCGUGGGGGAUGACGGCCUUCGGGUUGUAAACUCCUUUCGCCAGGGACGAAGCGUUUUGUGACGGUACCUGGAGAAGAAGCACCGGCUAACUACGUGCCAGCAGCCGCGGUAAUACGUAGGGUGCAAGCGUUGUCCGGAAUUACUGGGCGUAAAGAGCUCGUAGGUGGUUUGUCACGUCGUCUGUGAAAUUCCACAGCUUAACUGUGGGCGUGCAGGCGGUACGGGCUGACUUGAGUACUGUAGGGGUAACUGGAAUUCCUGGUGUAGCGGUGAAAUGCGCAGAUAUCAGGAGGAACACCGAUGGCGAAGGCAGGUUACUGGGCAGUUACUGACGCUGAGGAGCGAAAGCAUGGGUAGCAAACAGGAUUAGAUACCCUGGUAGUCCAUGCCGUAAACGGUGGGCGCUAGGUGUAGGGGCCUUUUGGGGUUUCUGUGCCGUAGCUAACGCAUUAAGCGCCCCGCCUGGGGAGUACGGCCGCAAGGCUA
Molecule: ribosomal RNA, 850 nt
Filed under: uncultured bacterium
Lineage: Bacteria
Description: bacterial SSU rRNA
Rfam family: Bacterial small subunit ribosomal RNA
Source: RNAcentral